This 1032-nucleotide long non-coding RNA is filed under the name Daucus carota (carrot). Its description in RNAcentral is "long non-coding RNA (DCAR_LNC001828)". Lineage: Eukaryota; Viridiplantae; Streptophyta; Magnoliopsida; Apiales; Apiaceae. The record is from RNAcentral.
GUUAUGUGGAGGUCGACUGGGUAUUUCUCAAUGUUUCGCCCGACUGGUCUUCAACUAGUCGACUGGACAACCCAGUCGCUCGACUAUGCUUUAAUUUUAAAUAAAACAACAGCCCAGCAAAAAGCCCGAUACCCAGUUAAAUAAAACCCUAGAAACGAAUGCCCAGCAGCGUGGUUAGUCGCUGUUAGUCGCUUCUCCCGACUCCAAAUCAGAUUCCUCUCCUCUUCUUCUCUCCAGGUAAGCUCUACAAUCUGCAUCCUCUCCUCUUACACACACACACUUGUAUAUAUACACAGUUACACGCACACACACUUAUAUACAUACACAAAAACACAGUUAUACAAACUUAUGUAAACACUAUUAUACACACUGAUACACACACAUACUUGUAUACACACACACACACACACACACACACACUUAUAUAUACACUAAUCAGUAGUCACUAGUUGUUGGCUUGUUGCAGUAGCUAUUUUCUAAUGUCAGUACACACACACACUUGUAUAAUCUGCAGAAUGGCUGAGGCAUCUAACGAGGCUGUUUAUGAUCCGUCUAAUGACCCCAAAAGGAAGGCCCGAUCUAUUGAUCCGGCCUGAAAAUAUGGAUUUUGGCCAGAUUUAAAUAAUGACCCCAAAAGGAAGGCCGGAUUUGUGGGAUGCCGUAGAUGAAGCUUUGGAUGCAUCAAAAAAUCUUAAGGUUCGUCGUAGUCGUAGGCGGGCUAGUGCAUCUUCUCAAGUGGAAGAUGAUGUUGAGAUGGAAGGAGAGGGGACACCAAUUAUAUUGAAUGACGAUGAUUUUGGUUAUGAACCAAACACUAAUAGUGAGAGAAAUGAUGAGAUACGCGCAAGAGAUAAUAUUUUGGAUCUCUAUGAUGAUGAUAUCUAAAUUCUGCCAUUCGUCCACUGCUUAGAUUUGCAAUUCUUCCCACUGCCCAGAUUUGUUAUUCUGCACACUCAGAUUCUGCACUUAAAAGGGUCUAGAAUUCUGCGGUUUUAAACUGCCCAGAAUUCUGCAGUUUUAAACUGCCAAUGC